UUCGCCUUCAUGAAGCUGGAAUUGCUAGUAAUGGCAGGUCAGCAUACUGCCGUGAAUACGUUCCCGGGCCUUGUACACACCGCCCGUCACACCAUGGGAGUCGGAAAUGCCCGAAGUCAGUGACCUAACCUUUAAGGGAGGAGCUGCCGAAGGUGGAGCCGGUAACUGGGGUGAAGUCGUAACAAGGUACC
Molecule: ribosomal RNA, 191 nt
Filed under: uncultured bacterium
Lineage: Bacteria
Description: partial 16S ribosomal RNA
Rfam family: Bacterial small subunit ribosomal RNA
Source: RNAcentral